UUUAAGUCUAAAAGUAAAAAGUCCAAACACAAGAAGAAGGAUAAAAGAAAGAAGAAGAGUUAUUCUGACAGUGAUGAUUCAGACGAGAGUAGCAGUGAAGAAAAUCUACCUACAGAUAAGGAAUUAUUAAACAAGUAAGGAAACAAAACCUUUUGUACAGUGUUCUCCCAAUAGCUUUUUAGCAUCCUAGUAAAUUCUUGGUAUAAGCAACAGAGAUAUUAAAAAAUUUGAAAGCACACAUAACUAAAUUUUAACUAUUAUCAACACAAACCUAGGGUGAUCUCGGUUAGAUCUCGGGUGUUAUGUUUAAGGUUGUCUCCAGGGUUGUUUUAACUAGCAUGAAAUGUGAUUUUUUUUUUCAAACCUUGCUUUUAUUUUCAGAUUGAGGAGUUUACCUAAAGGGAAACAUUCACUGUUGAGAUGAGGACAUGCUUAGUUGGAUUAAGAUCAUUGCUCAUCUGUGAUAGAAAAAGAUACAAACAAUUUUCAUGUCCAGUUUAUACAGGAUAUGUUGUCAUAGCAGACAUUAGCAAUUAUAAAAGUUUAUUUAUAUUUUCAAAUGGCUUCAAUGGUCUAGGAAAAUAAAACUCGCCAUAUUAAAAUACCAUGAUCAAAAUUUUGUACGCCUGAUGCUCCUUUCAUCUAAAUAAAAGACAAAAAAGGCCAAACAAAGUAAUGAAGUUGAAUAGAGCACUGAGGACCCACAAUUUCUAAAAGUUUUGCUAAUUAUAUUUAAAGUAAUCAAUUCCGGGGUAGAAAAUUCUUGAUAUUUCCAAAAAAAAUCAUAGUUUUUUUAAACAGUUAAUUUAUAAUUAUGGCCAUAUCAAUGACAGUUCAUGUCAAAACAGAAGUGCCGACUACUGGGCUGGUGAUACACUCAGGGGAAAACUCCGCCAGCAGUGGCAUCGACCCGGUGGUUGAAUAUAAACUCAUCAUAGAUAGCAGGAUUGAAAUUUUGUACCCCAUACAUACAUUUGGUGACAAGUGUUGUGUUCAAAAGAUUCAUUAGUGAAGUUGAAAGUUAAAAAGGCCUAAGAAAGUAGGUAAUCUAACUGGGUUAGAAAAUCCUUGGUAGUUUUCAAGUUCUUUUAUUUAGGUAACCUAGAAUAUAACUAUGGUGGAAAUCUGCAAUGUGUAAAAAAAA
RNAcentral lists this long non-coding RNA (1144 nucleotides) under Mytilus galloprovincialis (Mediterranean mussel). The record is from RNAcentral. Lineage: Eukaryota; Metazoa; Mollusca; Bivalvia; Mytilida; Mytilidae.